CACCUCUCCGUAAUAUAAAUCUCCCUUAAACAAAUCUAAUAACCAGUCAUCAAAUUAAACGCAAAUUCAACCCUGCUUUCACUUCCCCGCGAUCUAACCUGGUAUUCAAUUCCGCUUCUUCCCCUUUUCCAUUUUUGUUUUCUUCUCCUUUCUUCCAUUUUUAUCAGAAUUCGAAUCUUUACUUUCAUUCUAUUUUAUUCACUUUCCUAUACUAACAUGUUAACCACAGAUUUAGAACUUGUAUUAUACGUUUAGAGAGUUUCAGAGUAGUUGGUUACGCUUAUAGGCAUGGCUGGUCAAACUGAAACCCUAGAUAAUUCUAUAGAUGGUGUUUUGGGGGCAAGUGGUGCUGAGUUGAAUCAUGAUUUAGGUUUUCAUGGAUCAAUUGGGGAGGGUAAAGAUGUGAAUCCUGUUAUUGAAGGAGUUUUAGGGUUUGAGAGUGAGAAGAUUGAGUUGGGUGGUGAUGAAGCAGCUUUGAAAACAUUGGAUGAGAACAAGGAGGUGGUUAGUGAAAUACUGGAGAAGGAAGUGGUGAUGAGUGAUGUUGCUGAGGUUGAGUUAGAAGAAGGGAAGGUUGGCGUUUCUGAGAAGAUUGAUGAUUUGCAUAUAGAUGGUGUUUUGGAGGCAAGUGAUGCUGAUUUGAAUGAGGAUUUGGGUUUUGAUGGAUCGAUUGAGAAAGGUAAAGAUGUGAAUCCUAUUGUUGAAGGAGUUUCUGGGGUUGAGGGUUUUGUGAGGUCCUUAGAAGGUAACAUUGAGAGUGAGAUGAUUGAGUUGGGGGGAAAUGAGGCAGCUUUGAAAACAUUGGAUGAGAAGAAGGUGGUGGUUAGUGAAAUAUUGGAGAAAGAAGUGGUGAUGAGUGAUGUUGUUGAGGUUGAGUUAGAUGAAGGGAAAGUUGGCAUUUCUGAGAAGAUUGAUGAUUCACAUGAAGAGCUAGAAUUUAGUGAUGCGGAAGAGGUAAAAGUAAAAGCAAAGGGUGGAAAAGUUGUAAAGUAUGUCUCCAUGAAGAGUUCGGGAAAAAGUUAUCAGGCGAGGUAUCAGCUGCCGGUAGAAAAAGAAGGGAAGUUUUCUAUGAAUGAUUUGGUUUGGGGAAAGGUGAGAAGUCACCCGUGGUGGCCGGGGCAAAUAUUUGAUCCUUUGGAUUCAUCUGCAAAGGCGAUGAAGCAUUUUAAGAAGAACCGCUAUUUGGUAGCGUAUUAUGGGGAUGGAACGUAUGCAUGGAAUGAAGGGUCUAAGUUGAAGUCCUUUAGGUCUCAUUUCUCUUAUAUUGAAAAGAAUAAAAAAUCGGAAGCGUUCCAGAGUGCUGUAGAUUCGGCUUUGGAUGAAGUCAAAAGACGAGUAGAAUUUGGGCUAGCAUGUUCCUGCAUACCGAAAGAUACCUAUGACAAGAUUAAACACCAGACUAUUGAAAACUGUGGAAUUCAACAAGAGCCGAGUUUCGUAAACAGAGUUGAUGACUCUUUAAGUGUUAGCUCCUUUUUACCUGAGAAGCUUAUCGAAUACUUGAAAGAUUUAUCUAAGUUUCCAACCGAAGGCUUUGAUCGAUUGGAGCUUUUAAUAGCUAAGACUCAGUUACUUGCAUUUUAUCGUUUAAAGGGUUACUCUUGCUUGCCUGAAUUUCAAUAUUUCAGAGGUUUGGACGAUGACAUCAACCCUUCAAUUAACGAUACUGAUAAAAGAUUGAGUGAAGUUAAUGAGCACACAAUUCAUGUGGGUGAAAUUGGCGAUCAAACUGGUACCGGAGAUUCAAAAGCCAUAAACAAAUCCCGUCGCAAGCGUAAACAUCAUCUAAAGGAUGAUGUCUAUCCAGCAAAAAAGAAAAGCUUGUUAGAACAAGCAAGUGUGACUCCAGAUUCUACCCAUGGUGAUUAUCAGAAUGACGAGGCCAUUGCUAAUCUGACUUACCCGGUCCUUUCCAAGAAACGGAAGACUAUUAAUCUUUACGCUGAUGUCUCAGGAAUGAAAAGCAGAACAAAAACUAUUUCCCUCAAAAAAAGUUCAAACACCACAAUACAAUCAUUUAAAAUUGGUGAAUGUAUCCGUAGGGUUGCUAGCCAACUUACUGGGCCUCCGUCUUUAUUGAAAUGUUCCGGGGACAGAUCUCAGACGGCAGAUGGAAAUGUAGAUAGUUUUUCAGGAAAUGAAUUUGAUUCCUUCUCUCCCAAUUUUGAGGAAACUCAGAACUCAAGCUUGACUUUUCCUACAGAGGUUUCAUCUCUAGAUGAUUUGCUAUCUUUACUUCAGCGUGUAGCACAAGAACCACAGGGAGAUUACAGUUUCUUGAAUGUUAUUGUGAGUUUCUUCUCUGAUUUUAGGAAUUCAAUCGUAAUGGCCGAUGAUUCUGAGAAAGAAAUCUUACCUACAAAUGAAGUUGGCACUAAAAAGAAGAAACAACCCACAGGUGGAUCUCCUGAAACAUUUGACGCUGAUGAUCUGAAUGACACGCAUUGCGUACAGAAUGGUUCUGAAGAACAACCACAGAGAAGCGGAAGACUUGACCAUCAGCAGCAUGCCCUCUCUGAACUAGAAAAACCUGUUCAUGUGUAUACCCGUAGGUCGUAUGCCAGGAAACAAUGUUUUGAUAACAACCAUGCUGAGGUUCCUGAAAAACCUUCUGGUUAUAUAGAUGAGAAAUCCCCAGCUGAACUUGUUUUGAACUUUGCUGAGUUGGAUUCUGUUCUCUCAGAAACAAGCCUGAAUAAUAUUUUUAAGCAUUUUGGACCUCUAAAGGAAUCUGAAACAGAAAUUGAUAGAGGAACUAGCCGGGCAAGAGUGGUUUUCAAGAAGUGUGCUGAUGCGGAGGUUGCUUUCAGUAGUGCUAAAAAGUUUAAUAUAUUUGGACGAAGUCAUGUAGAUUACCAGCUGAACUACUCACCAAGUGCAUUUAUGAAAACUGCAUCUUGUUCUAUAAUGCCGGAUGAGGAAUUGCAUUUUAAUCUUUCCAAUGUUGAGCUUAAUAUGGUCUGAAUCAUUUGGUCAUGAAACUUUUAGUGCCAAUGUUGCUCUUACGAAAGCAUAUUGGUUGAAGAACUGGAGGAUGUUCUACGUUCUUCAAUCCAGCCAUGACAAAAGGAAAUAAGUGUCUGGCAACAGUAUGAGAGUAUGAGACUACUAAAGAAAGAAUUUCGGAAGAAAAUAAGGGAGUGCUGAAAACGUGGUGGCAGCAUAUAUAUAACUGAUUAUUCUGCAAAACCAGUUUAUUAUUCAAUGGCUUCCAAGUGAGGUAACCAGAAUGUCGAUUCAUCUGGUCAUCCAUUAUUCUUUAUAGAUUUCAUUUUGGUAGUAGGAUGCAUCAUGUUACAGCUUCUUAGUUUGCGAUGCUUUUACUAAUGUCCCGCUCCUUAUUGUAGUUGCCAUUUACAGAUUCUUUGUGAACUCUUUAGUCUGUAUCUAUUCUCUUACUUUAGUGGUUUAGAGGUUAGCACUAUUCAUAUGGGUUAGGGUUACUAUUACAAACUAUGCUUCAGAAAUUUGUAAGUGAAAAAAUAUGUUAAUUAGACCCUUUGAUGUCUUACCUUUUACAACAACAGCAAAUUGGUUCAAGUGGUAAAGAGAUUUGGGUUUCUUAAAUAA
Vicia villosa (hairy vetch) is the source of this 3570-nucleotide RNA transcript. It is a transcript of the gene named PWWP domain-containing protein 5-like, with no coding region annotated. The transcript has 3 exons. Lineage: Eukaryota; Viridiplantae; Streptophyta; Magnoliopsida; Fabales; Fabaceae. The record is from RefSeq and is a predicted model, not a curated record.